UCCGGUUUAACACCGGCGGUCUCCCUAGAGUGCCCAACUGAAUGCUGGCAACUAAGGAUAAGGGUUGCGCUCGUUAAGGGACUUAACCCGACAUCUCACGAUACGAGCUGACGACAGCCAUGCAGCACCUGUCUCCCGGCCCCCGAAGGGGAAACCCUAUCUCUAGGGCUGUCCGGGGAUGUCAAACCCAGGUAAGGUUCUUCGCGUUGCAUCGAAUUGAACCACAUGCUCCACCGCUUGUGCGGGCCCCCGUCAAUUCCUUUGAGUUUUAACCUUGCGGCCGUACUUCCCAGGCGGGGUACUUAAUGCGUUAGCGUCGACACUGUAGGGGUCAAUUCCCACAACAUCUAGUACCCAUCGUUUACAGCGUGGACUAC
RNAcentral lists this unclassified non-coding RNA (377 nucleotides) under uncultured Oligoflexales bacterium. Its description in RNAcentral is "contains 16S-23S intergenic spacer region". The record is from RNAcentral. Lineage: Bacteria; Pseudomonadati; Bdellovibrionota; Oligoflexia; Oligoflexales.